Molecule: ribosomal RNA, 652 nt
Filed under: Sarcogyne sp.
Lineage: Eukaryota; Fungi; Ascomycota; Lecanoromycetes; Acarosporales; Acarosporaceae
Description: SSU rRNA
Rfam family: Bacterial small subunit ribosomal RNA
Source: RNAcentral
GCUAGUUGUAUUAACUAUUAGUUAAUGCAAGAUCGACUAUGUCGACUAAAGUUCUAGGUAGAAUAAUGAUGAUGACAAUUUUUUACCUAUAUGUCUUGACCAAGUCUCGUGCCAGCAGUCGCGGAAAUACGUGGAAGACUAGUGUUAUUCAUCUUUAAUAGGUUUAAAGGGUACCUAGACGGUAUUUCUAGCCCAAAAUAGGGUACGGAUUUACUAGAGUUUUAUGUGAGGAGGGGAGUACUCAUGGAGUAGAGAUGAAAUUUUGUGAUACUAUGAGGAAACUGGUGGCGGCGAAAGCAACCUUCUAUGUAUAAACUGACGUUGAGGGACGAAGGCUUGGGUAGCAAAUAGGAUUAGAUACCCUAGUAGUCCAAGCAGACAAUUCUGAAUGCCAUAGAUUAGAUUAUUUUUGGUCUAUAAAUGAAAGUGUAAGCAUUCCACCUUAGGAGUAAUGUGGCAACACAGGAAAUGAAAUCAUUAGACCGUUUCUGAAACCAGUAGUGAAGUAUGUUGUUUAAUUAGAUGGUCCACAAAAAACCUUACCACAACUUGAAUAUUAUUAAAUUAAUACAAGCGCUGCACGGCUGUCUUCAGUUAAUGUCGUGAGAUUUUGGUUAACUCCAUUAAUUAACGUAAACCCUUACUUUAUUUA